Molecule: ribosomal RNA, 497 nt
Filed under: uncultured bacterium
Lineage: Bacteria
Description: partial 16S ribosomal RNA
Rfam family: Bacterial small subunit ribosomal RNA
Source: RNAcentral
GAUGAACGCUGGCGGCGUGCCUAAUACAUGCAAGUCGAGCGAACAGACGAGGAGCUUGCUCCUCUGACGUUAGCGGCGGACGGGUGAGUAACACGUGGAUAACCUACCUAUAAGACUGGGAUAACUUCGGGAAACCGGAGCUAAUACCGGAUAAUAUAUUGAACCGCAUGGUUCGAUAGUGAAAGACGGUUUUGCUGUCACUUAUAGAUGGAUCCGCGCCGCAUUAGCUAGUUGGUAAGGUAACGGCUUACCAAGGCAACGAUGCGUAGCCGACCUGAGAGGGUGAUCGGCCACACUGGAACUGAGACACGGUCCAGACGCCUACGGGAGGCGGCAGUAGGGAAUCUUCCGCAAUGGGCGAAAGCCUGACGGAGCAACGCCGCGGGAGUGAUGAAGGUCUUCGGAUCGUAGAACUCUGUUAUUAGGGAAGAACAAAUGUGUAAGUAACUAUGCACGUCUUGACGGUACCUAAUCAGAAAGCCACGGCUAACUACGUG